GAUGAAGAACGUAGCGAAAUGCGAUAAGUAAUGUGAAUUGCAGAAUUCAGUGAAUCAUCGAAUCUUUGAACGCACCUUGCGCCCUUUGGCCAUUCCGAAGGGCAUGCCUGUUUGAGUAUCAUGAACACCUCAACUCUCAUGGUUUGCCAUGAUGAGCUUGGACUUUGGGGGUCUUGCCGGCCUAUGGGUCGGCUCCUCUCAAAUUAAUCAGCUUGCCAGUGUUUGGUGGCAUCACAGGUGUGAUAACUAUCUACGCUUGUGGUUUUCCAUCAGGUAACCUUCAGUGAUGGAGGUUCGCUGGGGCUCAUAAAUGUCUCUCCUCAGUGAGGACAGCUUUUUUGAACGUUUGAUCUCAAAUCAGGUAGGACUACCCGCUGAACUUAAGCAUAUCAAUAAGCGGAGGA
This 404-nucleotide unclassified non-coding RNA is filed under the name soil metagenome. RNAcentral describes it as "partial contains 5.8S ribosomal RNA, internal transcribed spacer 2, and large subunit ribosomal RNA". The stretch from base 1 to 121 matches the Rfam family "5.8S ribosomal RNA", at positions 35 to 154 of the family's 154-position model. The record is from RNAcentral.